Molecule: non-coding RNA, 870 nt
Organism: Microcebus murinus (gray mouse lemur)
Lineage: Eukaryota; Metazoa; Chordata; Mammalia; Primates; Cheirogaleidae
Source: RefSeq, a predicted model, not a curated record
AUCUGGACCCAGCCAGGAGAUUCACUGGGGCAUCUCCUAGAACUUCUCACCCCAUAGUAACUAACAAUGGACAACCUCAACACUGACAGUUCUAAAAGGACAGGGCAACCAAGGAAUUGGGGAUAGGAGUCUGUGUAAUCUCAUCAGGCAGGUAGCCCAGCUCUGCAGAGGGGUAGCUGAAGUAAGCGAGGGAAAGAGAGAAUAUGAAUUAUGGACUAGGACAAGCCAUAGCCUUGGGGACCGUGGCUCGCUUCAUUAGCCCUCUUGCCUCUAUCUUCCUUAAGAUCACAUCCGGCGCUACCUUUGAGGGGACUUGCUUACCGUAGACUCUACCUCCACUCUCGAGGAAAGAGUGAUGGUCCUUAUCAUGGUAUGGAAGUUGGCUAUAACGGGAGGGUUCCAGUGGAUCCUAGUGGCCCAAGAGGUGAGAUUUCUUCUCAAAUUCCUUGACUGCCUCCUUGCUCUCUCUGAGGUUGCGCCUCCACUUCCAGACUUAGACGAGAUGCCGCACUGUGCAAGGUGGAAUGUGGUUUCUAAGAACCACCAAGGGUCAGAUAACAGAACCCAGAAGCGUGGGGUGUUGACUCUGUGGGGUGAACCUUGACCCAUGGAAGACAGGCCAUGGAUGGGAGCUGUGGACUUCUCCAAGGUGUGUUUCCUCCUUACCCUCCGGAGAAGCCCCACCGCCUGCUGCGAGACACCUUCUGAGCAAGCAGCCUGGGUAUCUUUUUGAGGCUCCUGUGAAUCGGUGAUCAGGACGCUUCCAGGGUCAUCCCUGUCAUUCUUCUGCCUCCAGGCAAAGCCCCACUUCUGCAGUUUUCAAAGGAGAAAGAAGAGUCUUACUUGUUGACCAGGCUAGAGUGAGUGCCG